GGUGCGCGGUGGUGUGAAGUUUAGUCGUGGUUAUCAAGAUCCGUGUAUGUUCAGGUGUGUUCAGACUAAUAUGAUUUGGCCAAAAUAAAAAAAAAUAUGAAUUUUAUUAGUAAGAUAUUCGGAUCUGUGAUCUGUAAAGGAUAAUGUGAAUGAGGUAAUUUGGAAUUUCUGUUUGGCUGUCUUGGGAUGUCGGUGGGAUCCGGAUUAGUAAAAGACUCUUGCAAUUUGUUUUGCUGUCUUAAAGAGUUAUUAAUGCACGCUGCCCACCAAUUAUUGGUUUCUUGCGAGGACCAUGCCAGACCAAUUUUAAUUAUUAAUGCACGGUGCGCAUCCUUCCAUUCUUCUUUUUAUUUUUUUAAUACGAGGGUACUACUUUUUAUAUUAAUGUUAAUUAUGAAUGAGACAUGGUUGCAUAUGGUCUCUCCGAUGAAGUAGGCAAAUACAAAGUCAAAACAAUUUUGAUGAGCCAUGUAGGCAAUGUUGCCUACUUUCAAUAUUAUAGGCAAAUAGAAUUCCACUUCUCUAUUUAUUAUAAAAUAUUUUAAGUAGAGGAAGAAUGUAAAAAAAAAAGGAUAAAGUCAGAUUGUGUUGUAUGUAUAAUUUACUGAAUAAUUAUGGAUGCCAGAAAAUAGAGGAGUGCGGCAAUAGUAGAAAGAAAGAGAGAAAUGUUUAAUUGUAAGGUGUGUUCUAUUCCAUCACAUUAUGUCUUUAUUUAUAGUAGUAAGGAAUAGCAUUUCUUACCCUUUAGGAUUACAACAUUUAAUAAGUAAUAUACUCCUAAUAGGAAUAUGAGAGAUAUUCCAAGAUAUACUAGGAUUUAAACAAUCACAUUCAGAAUCUAAUAGGACUGCAACACUCCCCCUUGAGUGUGUAAAUACUCAAGUAAAUAAUGCAUCAAGUCUUCAGUGAUGAAGUAAGUACAGUUAAUGAAGUCGUCAGUACAAUGAGCAAAUGCGGGUCUCAAAUCAAUGGAAGAAUGCAUAAAAAGUAAAACUCAUAAAACCUCACUAUGGUAAAACCCAAGGUGGGAGAAAAACUCAUAGUUUAAGGAGAAAAGUGAGAAGUUGCAUUAAGUCAAAACUAUACGUCUUUUGGACGCAAGUAAAAGAGCUCACAAGGGUAUGAUCAUCCAAGGAUGGGUGUCUCGUUAAAACCUAGUUAAGUAGCAAAAACCCAGUUGGAAAAAUGCUCAUAAUCGUAGAGAAAAAGAGUACAUUAAGAUCAAGUGAGUACAAUUUUGGAUACUCCCCCUGAGUUUGACAUAUCUUCCAAAUGAGAACUACAAGCAUUGCAUAUGAAUAGUUAGGCAUACCAAUUCCUUGGACAAGCUUCUAGAAGGUUGACUUCGGUAGUGACGUCAUGUAAAGGUCGGCAAGGUUGUCUGGGAUUGGCUUGCAUGACUUCAAUAUCCUGAUGCUUUGCUAAUGUAGAUAUGGACGCAAUAUGUCUUGGCGUUGACUUCAUUGAUGGAUCACGGCUUCGUCGGGUUGAUACAUGCGGCAUAAUCUUCAUGGAUCGUCAUCGGGACUCAACGAUGGAUGAAAACACAGCAAGUACUUCGAAAUAUGCUCAACAAGAACUCCUAACAAUGUCUCACUUGUGGCGUAGUGAAGUGAGGUGAGUCCUGGAACGAUUCGAAGAUUUCGCAACUAAGGUCAUAUCAUGGACCUUCAAGACAUUGCGAAAUCCCUUAACGGUAAAGACAUAACCAUUCUAGGGAUUGUGCCUUGUGUGGGUUUGAUAAAUAACCUGCAUUAGCAUAAUAAACAAGGCAAUCAUCAUUUCGAGGAUCAGGGGGUUGGAUCCGCUCGAGAUGCAUUGGGAUUUGCCCAUGUAGUACCUUUAGGGUACAUCUUUAAUAUAAAUUCAGUGGCUGCGUGUAGGCGCGAUGCUGCAUCUUGACCAAGAUCAACAAGAAAGGAGAUGUCAUGUCUAAAUACAAUGGACUAAGUACAACGAAGCGCAAAGUUGAACUUAGAUAUGGAAUUUCAGAUUCCAUAACCUCUUCAAGGGUCUUAUUUGCAUAUAACGUAUGGAUGAUCAAAGGUAUACUUAAAGGUGACACAUUUAAGGUGUAGUUCGACUGGUAGACCAAAAUACCAUCAGAACAAUGCUUUAACUUUAGGUUAAGGCAUAAACGAGUUUUCCAAAGAUCCUUCAUCUCAAAUUCCAUCUUCAGGUGCGAGGCAGUUUUCUCCAGCUCUUCUGGAGUCUUAGUGAGAUUCGUGUUAACGACAUAAACUGUAACUCUAGUGAUUUGGAAUAAGACUUCAUAGUUUAACACACAAGGGCAUAAUUAAUAUCCCUGACUGAUCAAAUAAUCACUUAGACGAGUACACCACAUCCGUCAGAUUGUAAAUGAACGCCUCAAACAAGUUAAAAGGGUGUUCCGUGGUUUUGGAACUAUUUGAACCAGUCAAUGUAAUUCUUUAGGAAUUUACAUGUAAAUCUCCGUAUCUAUAUCCCUAUGGAGAAACAUUAACCACAUUUCAUAAUACUGCUAUCAAUCACAAGACGUUUAAGAAAAACCUUGCGCCAUAAGGCGUUCAUCAUAUCGUACUAUUUCAUUCAUCCCAUAACGCUUCCUUUCCCACUUGUAACAUAAUAGGGUUACAUUGGGCAGUGUAGGAAUGACAGGUCCAAUACACACUUUGGUAAGGAAUUUGACCUAGAUUAUAAUUUUAGUUGUCCAAUUAGUUCUACGUUGUCACUUAAUCAACGAAACACGGCUCGAUAUCAUCAUUUUUCAUUUAUGUCGAUAGCUACCAUAUAAGUGAAAACAUCAUCGAUGGUAAUCUCAUUUCAAUUCCAUUUAGCUCAUCCAAACUAGUAUAUUGGACCAAAAACUUCAAGUCUCGGGAGUAAUCCAGAUUAAUCUCAUGAGAUGGAAAUGAUUUGAGACAGUGAUCAAGUUUAGAUUCAUUGUUGUGUUGUGUCUUCCUCUUAUAGGGAAGUGAAUCCUAUGAACCGAGUGAUCUAUAGUGCUUCGAUCCAAGAUAGAUUGAUUGGUUAUCUGCCAGUGUACCGAACCGUCUAACAGGGGUGUCCAAACCGUCCAACAGGGGCGACACACCUUCCAGGGAUGUUGACUCGACGUCCGUUAAGUACGUAUAUCCUUGCAAGCAUAUUUGCUGCUGGUAUAUUAUCUCGUCACUUUAGCUAGAUCAGAGGAAUGUGCCUAGAGCAACAUUUUGAAAUCUAGAAUUCAUCACAUUAUUUAUCACACUUGUGCGAUAUGGGGAUUGAGAUGAGACAUAGUGGACAACGUCCAUGCAACUUUGCGUCAUUCUACAGGAACAUUGACGUUCUUAUCUCCCCCUAACGGAGGGAAGAUUGUCUCAUUAAAGUGACAACUCGCAGAUGAUCGGUAAAAAGAUUGCAUGCGAGGGCUCGAAGAGAGCUAAUGUGGAGGAGAAUCAUGAUCGACAAAAGAUACACAUCAUUCUUUGAUGACCCAUAUUGGUAUGUUGUAACAGCGCAACUUGGCACAUGGAAUGCACACCCAAAUGCGUAAAUACGAAAAUCGUCAGGUUCGUACCCAGUAA
This 3545-nucleotide long non-coding RNA is filed under the name Malus domestica (apple). RNAcentral describes it as "long non-coding RNA (MDOM_LNC000512)". Lineage: Eukaryota; Viridiplantae; Streptophyta; Magnoliopsida; Rosales; Rosaceae. The record is from RNAcentral.